RNAcentral lists this ribosomal RNA (492 nucleotides) under uncultured bacterium. RNAcentral's name for it is "partial 16S ribosomal RNA". It matches the Rfam family "Bacterial small subunit ribosomal RNA", at positions 29 to 507 of the family's 1533-position model. The record is from RNAcentral.
AGUGAACGCUGGCGGUAGGCCUAACACAUGCAAGUCGAACGGCAGCACAGUAAGAGCUUGCUCUUACGGGUGGCGAGUGGCGGACGGGUGAGGAAUACAUCGGAAUCUACUUUUUCGUGGGGGAUAACGUAGGGAAACUUACGCUAAUACCGCAUACGACCUACGGGUGAAAGCAGGGGAUCUUCGGACCUUGCGCGAUUGAAUGAGCCGAUGUCGGAUUAGCUAGUUGGCGGGGUAAAGGCCCACCAAGGCGACGAUCCGUAGCUGGUCUGAGAGGAUGAUCAGCCACCCUGGAACCUAGACUCCGUCCCGACUCCUUCCGGCGGCAGCAGGGGGGAAUAUUGGACAAUGGGCGCAAGCCUGAUCCAGCCAUACCGCGUGGGUGAAGAAGGCCUUCGGGUUGUAAAGCCCUUUUGUUGGGAAAGAAAAGCAGCAGGUUAAUACCCCGCUGUUCUGACGGUACCCAAAGAAUAAGCACCGGCUAACUUCGUG